This 70-nucleotide transfer RNA is filed under the name Ecsenius bicolor (bicolor blenny). RNAcentral describes it as "tRNA-Arg". It matches the Rfam family "tRNA". Rfam says of the family: Transfer RNA (tRNA) molecules are approximately 80 nucleotides in length. Their secondary structure includes four short double-helical elements and three loops (D, anti-codon, and T loops). The record is from RNAcentral. Lineage: Eukaryota; Metazoa; Chordata; Actinopteri; Blenniiformes; Blenniidae.
AGGCGAUUAGUUUAAGGUAAAACAUUUAAUUUCGGCUUAAAAACUUGCAGUUAAAAUCUGUAAUCGCCUA